CUGGCCUUGGAGGAAAAAAGAGGGGGCGGGCUCAACAGCGCUGGCCUCCAGGGUGGACUGGAAACCUGGGGUUCCCUCCUGCAGAGAGACUGGGGACCCUCUGGCCUGAGCCCUGAGGGCAGGCCACGGCGGGAUGACCGGAUGACGGUGCAGCCCCCUGGUUCCCCACCAAGGCUGGAGCCCUGGACGCCAGAGUCGUUGGGAAGCUUGGACAACUGACACUUCUCCAUGUCUCAGGCUCCCAUCUGAUCUGCUAAAUGGACACAAUAAACAGUGCCAGCCUCAGAGGGUUGGCUGAGCCUGACCCAGGCUGCAGCCCAUGGGUCUCCAUCCCGGGACAUGGAAGUGGGAUUUCCCAAGGGAAGCAUUCCAUCUGAGACGCACACUGAGAACAGAAACGUGGAGAUGGCCAAGAGCUGAGAGUCGCCAAAAGCGGGAGAGCUCGAUCAGAUAACGCAGCGAUUUCUCAGAAGUGAGAGACGUGAAAACAGUGGAACAGGGUGCCGGAGGAGGAAGGACUGGGGGUCUCCUUCAGGAGAGAAGAGAGACAGAUACCUGUGAAUUCCGUUUUCCAUCUACUCAACGGAGCAGGGAGUCCUGGCUGUGUGGGCUGCGUGCAGCCUAAGUCCGCCUCGAGGAAGACGAAGACGAAGACGAAGUGGCCUCUACCCCUCCUGCAGCUCGGGCAGCGGGCACUGGGCACCGGUGUGCUGGGUUCCAGGCCUGGGUCACCUCUCUGGGCCUCAGUGUGUUUGUCUGUACACUGAGGUGUUUGGACUGGGUAUUUCCAAAGGUCCUUCCCAGCCUUAAAUGAUCUUCUUGGACUCUAAGAUUCUGGAAACUGCCUGGUCUUUGGGCCCUGUCACUACAGCUCAGGUAAAAAGGCAAUCUGGCUGGUGCCACAGUUUGGGCAGGGUGGGUCAGCCCUGCACCUUAGGAAGAGUCUGUCAGACAGGGCCCAGAUUGCCUGAGCCACCGAGUCACCUUCUUCUUCCUCUCCGGCUCCUCCAAGAUGUCCCCUGCGUGGGCUCAUCUGCUCCUGGCCCAGCCCUGAGCACUGGGAUGACUCAUCUCAGGAGGGAGCCUUCUGAGGAAGGGCCAGCACGUCAGGGCAGGAGGCUGAGAUUAGACCAGGGCCGCACAGCGCCUCAGGGCGGGUUGGCGUGCGGCCUGGGCGCUGAGGAGAUGCUGCUGCUCCAGGACGACCUCCUCCCUCAUAGCCCAGUGACCCCUGGAAUGUCCCUGCCACAGGCCUUCUGGAGGCUCCGACUCCACAAGACUGGCCCCACCCAAGGAGGAAGAGGGGAGUGGAAGGAGGCCGAGCUUGGAGUUGGAGCCGCUGUGGGUGAACAUCAGCUCCCGUGUCUGUGAGAAAGGGCUGGUGAUACCUCUCUGCCAGUUCUCAGAGUAAAAGCAAAAUACCCGCAAGAGUCCUCUACCAGCUAAAGCUCCACGGAGACACCCGGCUUGUUGUGAGGGCGGGAGGGCCCCAGCUGCGCCCGGCCGGGAGAAGGAGCACGACGAUGGAGAGUCGCAGCCUCUGUGUUCUUGCCCGCUCUAAGCUGGGUGCUGAACCGGCCCCUCCCCCGCCCCCCCAGAGCCCCGGCGGAGCACGGCUGCGAGGUGGGUGUGCAGCUGGCCCCGAGGACGGCGAGUGUGAGGCAGCCAUUCUGAAAAAGGAUUCAGGACAUCCCUAGUAAAAACAGGGUAAAACAACUACAUUAAAUUCUGCUGGCGAGUUUAUAAUGAGAGGUGACUGUGCCCACCCUCAGACCCUCUAGCUGAGGCCAAGCCCCUUCCCAAAGUUUCAGCUAUUCGUCUCUCUGACAUUUGCUUCGGUAACUCCAAAUAGUAUGUGGACAAUGGUACCUGUAGCUUUUGUUCAGCUUUAUUGAGGUAUAACUGAUAAAUAAAAUUGUAAGAUAUUUAAA
Molecule: long non-coding RNA, 1931 nt
Organism: Phyllostomus hastatus (greater spear-nosed bat)
Lineage: Eukaryota; Metazoa; Chordata; Mammalia; Chiroptera; Phyllostomidae
Exons: 4
Source: RefSeq, a predicted model, not a curated record